This 301-nucleotide ribosomal RNA is filed under the name uncultured bacterium. RNAcentral describes it as "partial 16S ribosomal RNA". It matches the Rfam family "Bacterial small subunit ribosomal RNA", at positions 509 to 807 of the family's 1533-position model. The record is from RNAcentral.
CAGUAGCCGCGGGAAUACGUAGGGUGCAAGCGUUAAUCGGAAUUACUGGGCGUGAAGCGUGCGCAGGCGGUUUGUUAAGACAGAUGUGAAAUCCCCGGGCUCAACCUGGGAACUGCAUUUGUGACUGGCAAGCUAGAGUGUGGCAGAGGGGGGUGGAAUUCCGCGUGUAGCAGUGAAAUGCGUAGAUAUGCGGAGGAACACCGAUGGCGAAGGCAGCCCCCUGGGCCAACACUGACGCUCAUGCACGAAAGCGUGGGGAGCAAACAGGAUUAGAUACCCCAGUAGUCCCUGUCUCUUAUAC